GCUAUGAACUUUUUCAAAUCGAAGAAAUCCAAAUAAAUAUUGUCUAUACUAUCACGACUAUGAUCAUGACACAAAGGAGUAUAUUCAAUUCUAGGAUGAGAUCAAGAAUUUCUUCAGGCGUGGCCAUCUCGAUUGAUUCAUCCUAUGAAGGCAGGAGUAGCAGGAGGGGUGGCAGAGAUCCCCUUAGUUGGCAAAGCAACC
RNAcentral lists this long non-coding RNA (201 nucleotides) under Elaeis guineensis (African oil palm). Its description in RNAcentral is "long non-coding RNA (EGUI_LNC021545)". The record is from RNAcentral. Lineage: Eukaryota; Viridiplantae; Streptophyta; Magnoliopsida; Arecales; Arecaceae.